RNAcentral lists this long non-coding RNA (4170 nucleotides) under Arabidopsis lyrata. RNAcentral's name for it is "long non-coding RNA (ALYR_LNC002731)". The record is from RNAcentral. Lineage: Eukaryota; Viridiplantae; Streptophyta; Magnoliopsida; Brassicales; Brassicaceae.
UAGAAUCUGUCAAUGAUGAAAUUUUAUUAGUGACUUUGAUCCCUUUGAUUUCGUUAUAUUUGGAAUUGGAAGUUUAAUCGUAUAUCACCAUUUGAAUCAAUUAAGAUAUUCCCACAAUUAUGUUUUCUAGAUAUGAUGAGUAGGUGCUUCCAGAUGAAGGUAAGAAAAGUUUAAACUUUCGUACUGAUCUUUAAACUUCUUUUGUGGCCUUUGUUGUUAAUUUUGGUACCUUCUUCAAAUCCAAUUCUGUUUUUUUUCUAUGAACCUUCGAUCACAUAUGAUCGUUGGCUUUUGCAGAAACUAAUUGUUCCUGUUGACCUUUGGAAAGCAAUCAGAGACAGACAAUUUGUCAAUAUUUUAUCUUCCAUUGUGGUUUUUGAUCUCUGUUUGUUGUUGUAGACAAGGGAAUCACCACUAACUCAAGGAUCGAUAACACAUCUAUAUGAUCUUUUGGUGAAUGGUAACAGUCUCCAAAUUCUCUAACACAUUCUCCAAAACCAUUUUCAAUAUCAAUAUCAUAAUCUCUGUUUCUUGUGGUUUUUGAUCUUUGUUUGUUAUUAUAGAGGUGAAAAUAUAUUUGCUUCUAAGUAUUCAAAAGAAACAACAAUUCUCCUAUUGGAUCUGAUUUUUACUAUAUAUAAAUCACACAUCUGUUUGCUAUUGCUGAGAAUAUUCACACAUGUGUUUCUUAGGAGAUUUGGAAAUAUAGAUAAGACUAGAGAUGUAUGAGCCUUUUCCUUGAUUGAGUUUGAAUCUCUUUGGAUUAAAACCGGAAAAUUUAUCUAUAAAAUUAUGACAGUAUGAGUUUUGGAACUUAGAAAGAGUAAUGGGCUUCCAUAUAUCAAUGUUUCUUCUCUAGAUACUCUUUAACAGUUGUUUUGGGUCUUUAAAAAGUAUAUACUUGCUAUGAUUUGUGCAGGUAGCUCGGAAUCUUGGAAAAAGUCUGCGUACAUUUCAUCCAACGAUUAGAGAGCAGACUUUUGUUUUUUUUUUAUCUCAAGACUUUAAGAAAAAAAUGAGGUUAGUUUGUAUAUUGGCCAACUAUUUUUGAUUGUUUGGAAAAACUUUGCGUACAUAUCAGCUAACGAUUAGAGAGCACAGGUUUGUUUUUUUUAUCUUAACACUUUGAGCAUGGUGGUAGCAGUCUCUGCCUUUUGGAUUGCUCUUUUGCAGGCUGCAGUUAUUUCGCGAAGCAGUACAUGGUUGGUGAGUAAUGAGUUUGUCAUUUUCAUUUUUGCUUAUUACUAUUCUCAAUUAGCCCAUAUGAAUAAUGUAUUUCUUUGCACCAGCUACCGAUAUACUUUGUAGUGUCCCUGGGAUGCUAUGGUCUAUUAAUAGUUUGAAUUAGUCUAAUGCAGUUCCUACCUGUCCUACAGAUGCAUUCUCUUGCAGCAUGGACUUUCUUUACCCUUUUCUUAAGAGCAGUUCUCUUGCAGCAUGUACUUAACCUUUUUCUUUCGUUGUUAACCUUGAAUUCUCAAAGCUUAUUAGGGUAUAAUUUAGUUCUUUGCAGAAUAUUACAGAGGCAAGCUAAGAGACUUCUUAAGCGUUAAUAGAGCAUUAACCUCUCACCUACCUAACAAUUGUAUUAUAAUAUUGUAUGUGGGAGAUGUACUUUGAGAAAUCAGGGUUAGCAAUUGGAAUUUUUAGGGCUUUAAAUAUGAGCUGAACAAGAAACUCUUCAAACACAUUAAUUUGUGUCGAUAGUUGCAUUUGUUUCUGUCUGAAACUCUGGUAAUAAUAAUAAAAACAUGCAUGGUAUGUAGAUAUAUUCGUCCAUUGAAAUAAAAAGCACAGUACUCUUUUUCACUUGAACGGAUUGUAAAUAGCGUCAUCAUUUUAUAUAUGUGCAUUACAUUUAAAAUAACCACUUCAAAUUGUACAAUAUUAUUACUAAAUUAAUAUAAAAUAUACAUGAUGUUAAUACGUUUUCUCCGGGUCUUCAUAUAUGUAGAACGUUUAUUUAUGUUAUCUACGUGCCUAACACUUAAUCGGGACCUAAAACACUUAAUAUGAUAUGCAUACUGUUUUAUCUUUGUAAUCAAAAAUUUCCCAUAAACACUUAUCCCACAUUAAUUUAUACUAUCAAUUACUUGCCCCUACAAUUUAUACACAAAAUUCAACUUUACCACUAUAUUCCUAAUCAAAAAUAUUUUACUCAAUACUACAAUGAAAUUCUUAAACACAAACUAUAUACAUAGAUACAAAUAUCUCUUACAUAUUAACAAAAGAUUACACAUGUGAAUGUUUGUGUAUUGCUUUAUCUUUGUAAUCAAAAUAUUCCCACAAACCCUUAUCCCACAUUAAUCUAUACUAUCAAUUACUUGCCUUGGAAUUUAUACAACAGAUUUAACUCUACUACUAUAUUCCUAAUCAAAAAUAUUAUAUUCAAUACUACAAUAAAAUUCGUGUCAAACAAACUAUAUACAUAGAUACAAAUAUCUCUUACAUAUUAAGAAAACAUUCCACCCGGGCGAAGCGCACCUGUUGAUAAACGUAGAAAUUAUUUUCGAAUUUAUGAGUUUAUAACUAUGAUAAAAAAAAAACAAGAAGAGCAAAAAUGAUGAUUUUAUGCAGCCUCAUAAAAAAGCUCUUGAUAAACGUAGAAAUUAUUUGUUGAUGGUGAGUUUGGCUAUAACCAGGAUAACAAAAGAAAGAGAGCAAAAUUAAUGAUUUUCUCCUGUUUGACGAAAGAGCUCUUGAUAAAUGUAUAAAUCAUUUGCUAAUUGAAGAGUUUUGCUAUAACCAUUAUAACGAAAAACAAUGAACAAAAUUGACAGUUUUCUACAACUUUAUAAAAAUGUCCUUGACAACCUUAAAUAUCAUUUGCUGGUUGAUGAGUUUGGUUAUAACCAUGAUAUAAAAAAAAGAAGUUGAUGGGUUUCUGCAAUGUAAUGAAAGAGCCCUUGAUAAACGUAAAAAUUAUUUGCUGAUUAAUUAGUGUGGCUAUAACCAUGAUAACAAAACAAGAGAACCAGAAUUGACGGCUCCGAUGAAAGAGAACUUGAUAAAUAGAAAUCAUUUGCAGGUUGACGAGUUUGGCUGUAACAAUAAAAACAAAAAAACAAUGAACAAAAUUGACGGUUUUCUGCAAGCUCAUGAAAAAGAACUUGAUAAACGUAAAAAUUAUUUGCUCAUUGAUGUGUUUGGCUAUAACCAUGAUAACAAAACAAGAGAAGAAGAAUUGACGGUUUUCUAUAAUCUAAUGAAAGAGAUCUUAAUAAACCUAGAAAUUAUUUGCUGAUUGAUGCGUUUGGCUAUAACAAUAAUAACAAAAACUGAGCAAAAUUGACGGUUUCUGCAUCCUCACGAAAAAACUAUUGACAAACGUAGAAAUCAUUUGCUAAUUAUGAGUUUGACUAUAACCAUGAUAACAAAAAAAGAGGAGAAGAUUUGAUUGUUUUUCCGUAGUCUCAUGAAAGAGCUCUUGAUAAACGUAGAAAUCGUUUGCUGAUUGAAACGUUUUGCUAUAACCAUUAUAACGAAAAAAUGAGCAAAAUUGAUAAGUUUCUACAACAUGAUAAAAGAGCUCUUGAUAAACGUAGAAAACAUUUGCUGUUUGAUGAGAUAUGAUAUAACCAUGAUAACAAAAAAUGAGUGAAACUAACGAUUUUUUUACAGCCUAAUGAAACACCUGUUGAUAAACGUAAAAAUUAUUUUCUGAUUUAUUAGUUUAUAACUAUGAUAAAAAAAAAAAACAAGAAGAGCAAAAAUGUGGUUUUAUGCAGCCUCAUGAAAAAGUUCUUGAUAAAUGUAGAAAUCAUUUGUUGAUGGUGAGUUUGGCUAUAACCGGGAUAACAAAAAAAAAGAACAAAAUUGACGAUUUUUUUUUGUUUGANNNNNNNNNNNNNNNNNNNNNNNNNNNNNNNNNNNNNNNNNNNNNNNNNNNNNNNNNNNNNNNNNNNNNNNNNNNNNNNNNNNNNNNNNNNNNNNNNNNNAAAAAAGGGAAAUCCCGUAAAAAAAAAAAAAAAAAAAAAAAAAAAAAAAUUCAAAUUUUUCCCCGACAACUAAGCUGGCACCUCUCAAUCAAUUCUGCUUUUUUUCUAUGAACCUUCGAUCACAUAUGAUCGUUGGCUUUUGCAGAAACUAAUUGUACCUGUUGACCUUUGGAAAGCAAUCAGAGACAGACAAUUUGUCAAUAUUUUAUCUUCCAUUGUGGUUUUUGAUCUC